The sequence is a transfer RNA, 87 nucleotides long. It matches the Rfam family "tRNA". From Rfam's summary of the family: Transfer RNA (tRNA) molecules are approximately 80 nucleotides in length. Their secondary structure includes four short double-helical elements and three loops (D, anti-codon, and T loops). The record is from Rfam.
GGGCGUGUAGCUCAGUUGGUAGAGCGUUCCAUUCGCAUGGUUAUCCGUGAUUUGGAAAGGUCUUUGGUUCGAUUCCUAACUCGUCCA